AGCACCUUGUAAGAACGAAUAACUAAGAAGUGUUAAGUCAUUGGAAAUAAGAAGACACAUGUUAGUCACUCAGGGCUUUUCUAAUCUGUAAUCUUAACUACUGAACAUGCCUUCCAAAUAGGAAAAGAAACAACACAGUGGCUAAUGAUUCAUUUGAUUUUUCUGUCGACUUGCGCUUCCACUGAAGGGAACGAAUCAUUGCAGGGGCGUGGAAAGACAAUGGGCCUCCUAUCCCAGGAAUAACGGAAUACACCUCCUUAGUGGAUGUUUUGGUGCACAUCUUUAAUCCCAGCACUGGGGAGGCAGAGGAGAGUGAUAGAGAAUCCGUGGUGAGAGCGGAUGACAAACGCUCAUGGUCAGUGGCCGUCUUGAUCCAGAUGAACUCUGCCAGUACAACAUUGAAUUAAAAGGUAAAACCAGGAGCUGGAGAGACGGCUCAGUGGUUAAGUUGUUUUCCUAUGAAGCCUAAGGACCCAGAUUCAAUUCCUCAGUAUCCACAUAAGCCAAAUAUAC
Jaculus jaculus (lesser Egyptian jerboa) is the source of this 513-nucleotide long non-coding RNA. RefSeq lists it as uncharacterized. The record is from RefSeq and is a predicted model, not a curated record. The transcript has 4 exons. Lineage: Eukaryota; Metazoa; Chordata; Mammalia; Rodentia; Dipodidae.